CCUACGGGGGGCAGCAGUGGGGAAUAUUGGACAAUGGGGGCAACCCUGAUCCAGCAAUGCCGCGUGUGUGAAGAAGGCCCGAGGGUCGUAAAGCACUUUUGUUAGGGAGGAAGGAGUAUGCGUUAAUACCGCAUAUGACAGACGUUACCUAAAGAAUAAGCACCGGCUAACUCUGUGCCAGCAGCCGCGGUAAUACAGAGGGUGCAAGCGUUAAUCGGAAUUACUGGGCGUAAAGGGUGCGUAGGUGGACGCAUAAGUCGGAUGUGAAAUCCCUGGGCUUAACCUAGGAACUGCAUUCGAAACUGUGAGUCUAGAGUAUGGUAGAGGUAAGUGGAAUUUCCGGUGUAGCGGUGAAAUGCGUAGAUAUCGGAAGGAACAUCAGUGGCGAAGGCGACUUACUGGACUGAUACUGACACUGAGGCACGAAAGCGUGGGGAGCAAACAGGAUUAGAUACCCCUGUAGUC
Molecule: ribosomal RNA, 465 nt
Filed under: uncultured bacterium
Lineage: Bacteria
Description: bacterial SSU rRNA
Rfam family: Bacterial small subunit ribosomal RNA
Source: RNAcentral